GGUUGUCGUCAGCUCGUGUCGUGAGAUGUUGGUUAAGUCCGCAACGAGCGCAACCCCUAUUGUUAGUUGCCAUCAUUCAGUUGGGCGACUCUAGCGAGACUGCCGGUAAUAAACCGGAGGAAGGUGGGGAUGACGUCAAAUCAUCAUGCCCCUUAUGACCUGGGCUACACACGUGCUACAAUGGUUGGUACAACGAGUUGCGAGUCGGUGACGGCGAGCUAAUCUCUUAAAGCCAAUCUCAGUUCGGAUUGUAGGCUGCAACUCGCCUACAUGAAGUCGGAAUCGCUAGUAAUCGCGGAUCAGCACGCCGCGGUCGAAUACGUUCCCGGGCCUU
RNAcentral lists this ribosomal RNA (334 nucleotides) under uncultured Streptococcus sp. RNAcentral's name for it is "bacterial SSU rRNA". It matches the Rfam family "Bacterial small subunit ribosomal RNA", at positions 1047 to 1382 of the family's 1533-position model. The record is from RNAcentral. Lineage: Bacteria; Bacillati; Bacillota; Bacilli; Lactobacillales; Streptococcaceae.